AGUGAACGCUGGCGGUAGGCCUAACACAUGCCAGUCGAACGGCAGCACAGUAAGAGCUUGCUCUUACGGGUGGCGAGUGGCGGACGGGUGAGGAAUACAUCGGAAUCUACUUUUUCGUGGGGGAUAACGUAGGGAAACUUACGCUAAUACCGCAUACGACCUACGGGUGAAAGCAGGGGAUCUUCGGACCUUGCGCGAUUGAAUGAGCCGAUGUCGGAUUAGCUAGUUGGCGGGGUAAAGGCCCACCAAGGCGACGAUCCGUAGCUGGUCUGAGCGGAUGAUCAGCCACACUGGAGCUGAGACACGGUCCAGACUCCUACGAGAGGCAGCAGUGGGGAAUAUUGGACAAUGGGCGGAAGCCUGAUCCAGCCAUACCGCGUGGGUGAAGAAGGCCUUCGGGUUGUAAAGCCCUUUUGUUGGGAAAGAAAAGCAGCAGGUUAAUACCCCGCUGUUCUGACGGUACCCAAAGAAUAAGCACCGGCUAACUUCGUG
RNAcentral lists this ribosomal RNA (492 nucleotides) under uncultured bacterium. Its description in RNAcentral is "partial 16S ribosomal RNA". It matches the Rfam family "Bacterial small subunit ribosomal RNA", at positions 29 to 507 of the family's 1533-position model. The record is from RNAcentral.